RNAcentral lists this ribosomal RNA (307 nucleotides) under uncultured bacterium. Its description in RNAcentral is "bacterial SSU rRNA". It matches the Rfam family "Bacterial small subunit ribosomal RNA", at positions 29 to 330 of the family's 1533-position model. The record is from RNAcentral.
AACGAACGCUAGCGGCAUGCCUCAAACAUGCAAGUCGAACGAGAAAGGGGGACUUCGGUCCCCCUGUACAGUGGCGCACGGGUGAGUAACACGUAGCUAACCUACCCUUUUGCUGGGGAUAACUCCGGGAAGCCGGAGCUAAUACCGAAUAAUCUAAUACGGCUCGCGGGCUGUAUUGGUAAAGCCUUCGGGCGCGAAAGGAUGGGGCUGCGGUCCAUUAGCUAGUUGGUGGGGUAAUGGCCCACCAAGGCGACGAUGGAUAGCUGGUCUGAGAGGAUGAUCAGCCACACUGGAACUGACACACGGU